CAAAAGCCAAUGAAUUUCAAUGGCUUGGCAAUAAAUGCAAGGAUCCUGCACACGAUAAUUGAUAUCAAUAUGACCAAACUGUGAUCAGCUGCUGCAACACCCUUUUCUUCCUCGUCUGAGCUAUCCAAGAACUUGAUACCACUUCUAGUGUCAUGGAACACCAAGAACUUGAACAAGUUCCAUAUCCCUCCCUUCUGUGGAUUCACUAUCAGGUACUUCACUCCAUUAUUCCCACCAUAUUUUUUUCUAUCAACAUGGUCAUAAUCAUGGCUGUUAUUCUGUUCAAGAUUUGGUUCAAUGGUAGCCAUGAAUGGAAAGUUCACUCUCUUCACUCUUAUUUCUCAGGAACCCUUUGUAUUUAAUAAUUUGUUUAGGAUUAGUUGGAGUCGAACUGGAUUGAGAAAAUAGGUUGGGCCAGCUUCCGCCUCAAACUUGAGGAUCGCCAAGAAGUGAAGAA
This 457-nucleotide unclassified non-coding RNA is filed under the name Hevea brasiliensis (rubber tree). Lineage: Eukaryota; Viridiplantae; Streptophyta; Magnoliopsida; Malpighiales; Euphorbiaceae. The record is from RNAcentral.